UACGGAGGGUGCAAGCGUUAAUCGGAAUUACUGGGCGUAAAGGGCGCGUAGGCGGAUACUUAAGUCGGAUGUGAAAGCCCCGGGCUUAACCUGGGAAUUGCAUUUGAGACUGGGUGACUAGAAUGUGGUAGAGGGUGGCGGAAUUUCUGGUGUAGCGGUGAAAUGCGUAGAUAUGAGAAGGAAUACCGAUGGCGAAGGCAGCCCCCUGGGCAAACACUGACGCUCAGGCGCGAAAGCGUGGGGAGCAAACAGG
This 253-nucleotide ribosomal RNA is filed under the name uncultured bacterium. RNAcentral describes it as "partial 16S ribosomal RNA". It matches the Rfam family "Bacterial small subunit ribosomal RNA", at positions 524 to 776 of the family's 1533-position model. The record is from RNAcentral.